Molecule: non-coding RNA, 1654 nt
Organism: Cricetulus griseus (Chinese hamster)
Lineage: Eukaryota; Metazoa; Chordata; Mammalia; Rodentia; Cricetidae
Source: RefSeq, a predicted model, not a curated record
GGCAAGGCAGCAGGCAGCCAGGCCAGGAAGUUAAGCAAUCACAUUUCCAACCACGCACAGAAAGCAGAGAAGGCAAACUGGAAGUAAGCCAAGGCUAUAAACCUAAAGGCCACUUCCGAUGAUGCAAUUCCUCCAGCCAGGUCACACCUCAUAAAGGUUCCAGAAACUCCCCCAAACAACACCACCAGCAUUUCAGCAGGCGUCUUGUAGGUGAUGGACUACUCGAAGGAAGCUGUUUUCCAGGAAACAACAUGCUGAUGCACACAUGAACUAGAGGGACCUGGACUAAGUCAGGCCAGACAAACCCCAGCACGGAGAAGGCGGAGUGGGCACGGGAGUGAUGCUGGGUGAGUCAGCCACACUCCAGGGCAGACCUAAUCUCAGGCGUAGUUGGCCAGCACAAAGCAGACUCCAUGUUUGGUGUAUGUGCAUUUCCUUUGUUGUACAUUUGUUUUCCUUCUUUUGUUUUCAUUUUUUUUUUAUAGACAGAGAACAUGACGUUGGGUGGGGGAGGAAAUCUGAGAGGAGAUGAGGAAAGGGAAAGAAUAUGACCAAAAAGUUUACAUCUCAUGAAAAAUGUUUUAAAUAAUACUUAAAUUAUUUUACAUGUUAAUCCUAUAACUACAGUUUUAGAUGACAAAAAACAUUGACUGGGAUAGAGAGGCGUAUGCAGGCUCAAAGCUGACCCAGAAAAGCAAUUUCUUUUUUCUCUGGUCCCAUCCUCAAAUAUAUCGAGGGUUCCCAGUAGGACUUGCUAAAAAGAAACCCUUGAUUCCCUGUGUCCUUAUCAAAAGACAUGAGAGGUUUUAUUUUAUUUUCUGUUCCCUUCUCCAUGAGGUCAUUCCCUCUUAAAUGACCCUUCUCUCCACAGUCAAAACGCUUGCCCUCUCCUUUCUCCCAGGUAUCUUUCUCCUGCAUUGGUCCCAUUGGGAGUCCUCUUAUGACUUGGACCUUACACUGCUGAAUCUCGGUUUACCUCAUUGCUUGGUUUAGAGCUGCCAACAUUAUCUUUGCCAGAGGAACCAACCCUGUUUCUUCCCUUCCUUGUUGUACAUCAAAGGCUCCAUUGGUAUCCUGGGACCAGGGCACCGUUCUCUGACCCCACCCCCAUGAUGAGAUCCUACGUGUAGCCUCAGUGGGACCUGCCUCAUUGUCAUCCCAUGUGGGGCGUGGGUUGGAGAUGUUUUCAUCUGCUGUCAUUACAUCCUGUCAGGUGCUCUCCCUCCUCCUCUCCACCAGAGAAAAGAAUACUCAAUAUAGACAUCAACUUGGACCAGGAAUAGAGUUGUAGUCCAAGGAAUUGAUCCAAUUGAUCAGGUUCAGUGCUGGAGAGAUGGCUCAGUGGUUAAGAGCACUGGCUGCUCUUCCAGAGGCUCUGCGUUCAAUUCCCAGGACCCAUAUGGUGGCUCAGAACUGACUGUAACUCCAGUUCCAGAGGAUGUGACUUCCUUGCACAGACACACACACAGCCAGCUGAUCAGCCUUUCUACGUGGACCUUGGAACUGGACGGAUGUAGUUGACAAAUCUUAUCCCUCCCCACCUAGGGAAACCUCUCUCACUGGGAACAUAAAUUAAGUUCUUUUGUUGGGAAAAGAAGAUUUUGGAUAUCCUUCUGACAUUAUUCAAAUUCAUUUCUUUUUUUGGUUUUCCAGA